Hordeum vulgare subsp. vulgare (domesticated barley) is the source of this 382-nucleotide long non-coding RNA. RefSeq lists it as uncharacterized. The transcript has 2 exons. Lineage: Eukaryota; Viridiplantae; Streptophyta; Magnoliopsida; Poales; Poaceae. The record is from RefSeq and is a predicted model, not a curated record.
GCAAUACGGAUGGACUCCUACGUCAGAUCGAAGAGUGGUCGCCUCGUAUCUGGCACGUCCUGUAUGUGGCACUUCACAUGCCCUGAGCUCGCUGAUGUGUGGUUGCUGACCAAGAAGCCGGGUUGGUGCAUGGAAUGGAGAUGAAAUUAAGAGUAGCUUAACUAAUUAUAUAGACUAGAUCGCACUAGUUAUUGUAAUCCUAUCUAUCUAUCUAUCAAUAGAUCUAGUACUUUUUCUUUAUUUGGCGGGUUGGUAAACAGACAAACACACAAACGGCCAAACAAACAAACAAACUAGAGGAGGAUUCUGCUGCCCAGCUUGACGCGACCAACACCAAUGUCUUGUACUGGGAUAUCUCCAUCUCCUGGCAAUCUUUCCUUGA